GGGGAUGUAGCUCAGGUGGGAGAGCGGUACGUUCGCAACGUACAGGUCAGGGGUUCGAGUCCCCUCAUCUCCACCA
RNAcentral lists this transfer RNA (76 nucleotides) under Desulfatiglans sp. Its description in RNAcentral is "tRNA-Ala". It matches the Rfam family "tRNA". From Rfam's summary of the family: Transfer RNA (tRNA) molecules are approximately 80 nucleotides in length. Their secondary structure includes four short double-helical elements and three loops (D, anti-codon, and T loops). The record is from RNAcentral. RNAcentral also lists the same sequence under 7 other names. Lineage: Bacteria; Pseudomonadati; Thermodesulfobacteriota; Desulfobacteria; Desulfatiglandales; Desulfatiglandaceae.